AGAGUUUGAUCCUGGCUCAGGAUGAACGCUAGCGGCAGGCCUAACACAUGCAAGUCGAACGGUAACAUUUCCAGCUUGCUGGAAGAUGACGAGUGGCGCACGGGUGCGUAACGCGUAUGCAACUUACCUAUAACUAAAGGAUAGCCCUGAGAAAUUGGGAUUAAUACUUUAUGGUACUAUGAUUUGGCAUCAUUUUAUAGUUAAAGAUUUAUUGGUUAUAGAUAGGCAUGCGUCCCAUCAGUUUGUUGGUGAGGUAACGGCUCACCAAGACUGCGAUGGGUAGGGGGCCUGAGAGGGUUAUCCCCCACACUGGUACUGAGACACGGACCAGACUCCUACGGGAGGCAGCAGUGAGGAAUAUUGGUCAAUGGAGGCAACUCUGAACCAGCCAUGCCGCGUGCAGGAAGAAUGCCCUACGGGUUGUAAACUGCUUUUAUAUAGGAAGAAACUUCCCGACUUGUCGGGAACUGACGGUACUAUAUGAAUAAGCACCGGCUAACUCCGUGCCAGCAGCCGCGGUAAUACGGAGGGUGCAAGCGUUAUCCGGAUUUAUUGGGUUUAAAGGGUGCGCAGGCGGAAUAAUAAGUCAGUGGUGAAAGCCCACAGCUCAACUGUGGAAUUGCCAUUGAUACUGUUAUUCUUGAAUAUAGUUGAAGUUAGCGGAAUGUAUCAUGUAGCGGUGAAAUGCAUAGAUAUGAUACAGAACACCAAUUGCGAAGGCAGCUAACUAAGCUAUUAUUGACGCUCAGGCACGAAAGCGUGGGGAGCAAACAGGAUUAGAUACCCUGGUAGUCCACGCCGUAAACUAUGAUUACUCGAUGUCGGCGAUAUAAUGUCGGUGUCUAAGCGAAAGUGAUAAGUAAUCCACCUGGGGAGUACGAUCGCAAGGUUGAAACUCAAAGGAAUUGACGGGGGCCCGCACAAGCGGUGGAGCAUGUGGUUUAAUUCGAUGAUACGCGAGGAACCUUACCUGGGCUUAAAUGCAAAAUGACCGUCUCGGAAACGAGACUUUCUUCGGACAGAUUGCAAGGUGCUGCAUGGUUGUCGUCAGCUCGUGCUGUGAGGUGUCGGGUUAAGUCCCAUAACGAGCGCAACCCCUAUUCUUAGUUGCCAGCGGAUAAUGCCGGGGACUCUAAGGAAACUGCCCGCGCAAGCGGAGAGGAAGGUGGGGAUGACGUCAAAUCAUCACGGCCCUUACGUCCAGGGCUACACACGUGCUACAAUGGUCAGCACAGAGGGCAGCUACCUGGUGACAGGAUGCUAAUCUCGAAAACUGAUCUCAGUUCGGAUCGAAGUCUGCAACUCGACUUCGUGAAGUUGGAAUCGCUAGUAAUCGCGCAUCAGCCAUGGCGCGGUGAAUACGUUCCCGGGCCUUGUACACACCGCCCGUCAAGCCAUGGGAGUUGGUUCUACCUGACGACGCUGCGCUAACCUUCGGGAGGCAAGCGGCCACGGUGGGAUCAGCGACUGGGGUGAAGUCGUAACAA
This 1487-nucleotide ribosomal RNA is filed under the name metagenome. RNAcentral's name for it is "bacterial SSU rRNA". It matches the Rfam family "Bacterial small subunit ribosomal RNA". The record is from RNAcentral.